CCCCUCUCAGGAUCGCACCCGGAGAGUUUCCGGUACUCUACCCGUCUCGACUAACGGAGGGAGAGUCAAGCAGAGGCCUACUCAUUCCAUUCCUGGCUUGGGGAGUGACUAGUGAGUGGAAGGCAAUCCGCUACAAGU
Molecule: small nucleolar RNA, 138 nt
Organism: Ornithorhynchus anatinus (platypus)
Lineage: Eukaryota; Metazoa; Chordata; Mammalia; Monotremata; Ornithorhynchidae
Source: RefSeq, a predicted model, not a curated record